Molecule: ribosomal RNA, 666 nt
Filed under: Triticum aestivum (bread wheat)
Lineage: Eukaryota; Viridiplantae; Streptophyta; Magnoliopsida; Poales; Poaceae
Description: partial small subunit ribosomal RNA
Source: RNAcentral
AUGGACAACCAGCAGCUCUUUGGUUCCUCCUACGUGGACGCGCCUUUCUUCGCGGCCAAUGGCACGGCGCAGCGGGAGAGCCAGCCGAAGGCUCGGCGCAGGCGGCGGAAGGCCGCGAGAUGCGGCGGAGGGGAUGGUAACGGCGGGGAGAUGGACGGAGGAGGGGACCCCAAGAAGCGGCGGCUCACCGAUGAGCAGGCAGAGAUGCUGGAGCUGAGCUUCCGGGAGGAACGCAAGCUGGAGACUGGCCGGAAGGUGUAUCUGGCCGCCGAGCUCGGGCUCGACCCCAAGCAGGUCGCCGUGUGGUUCCAGAACCGCCGGGCGCGCCACAAGAGCAAGACGCUCGAGCAGGAGUUCACCAGGCUCAAGCACGCUCACGACGCAGACAUCCUCCACAAAUGCCACCUCCAGAACGAGGUGCUGAGGCUGAAGGAGAGGCUGAGAGCGACUGAGGAGGAGGUGCAGCGCCUCAGGUCGGCAGCUGGGAGCCACGGGGCAUCCGGCGAUGGCGGAGACGCCGCUGGCGCCGUUAGCGUGUGCGGCGGGAGCCCAGGCUCGUCCUUCUCGACGGGAACCUGGCAGCAGCAUCUGGGUUUCAGCGGGGCAAACGAGCUGGGGACGGACGAUGACCUGAUGAUGUGCGUACCCGACUGUUUUUUCGCAUGA